This 74-nucleotide transfer RNA is filed under the name Candidatus Nealsonbacteria bacterium CG10_big_fil_rev_8_21_14_0_10_36_23. RNAcentral's name for it is "tRNA-Ile". It matches the Rfam family "tRNA". Rfam says of the family: Transfer RNA (tRNA) molecules are approximately 80 nucleotides in length. Their secondary structure includes four short double-helical elements and three loops (D, anti-codon, and T loops). The record is from RNAcentral. Lineage: Bacteria; Candidatus Nealsoniibacteriota.
GGGCGUAUAGCUCAGUUGGUAAGAGCGCGUCUCUGAUAAAGACGAGGUCUGUGGUUCGAGUCCACAUACGCCCA